This 253-nucleotide ribosomal RNA is filed under the name uncultured bacterium. RNAcentral describes it as "partial 16S ribosomal RNA". It matches the Rfam family "Bacterial small subunit ribosomal RNA", at positions 524 to 776 of the family's 1533-position model. The record is from RNAcentral.
UACGUAGGUGGCAAGCGUUGUUCGGAAUUACUGGGCGUAAAGGGCCAGUAGGCGGCCAACUAAGUCCGACGUGAAAUCCCCAGGCUUAACCUGGGAACUGCGUCGGAUACUGGAUGGCUUGAAUUCGGGAGAGGGAUGCAGAAUUCCAGGUGUAGCGGUGAAAUGCGUAGAUAUCUGGAGGAAUACCGGUGGCGAAGGCGGCAUCCUGGACCGACAUUGACGCUGAACGGCGAAAGCUAGGGGAGCAAACGGG